Molecule: long non-coding RNA, 760 nt
Organism: Bufo bufo (common toad)
Lineage: Eukaryota; Metazoa; Chordata; Amphibia; Anura; Bufonidae
Exons: 4
Source: RefSeq, a predicted model, not a curated record
ACUAUACCUCCUGGCUUCAGAGGCUUCAUGCUUUGGCCUCUGUGUCCAGCAGAGCUGAAGGUACUCUAGGCAGGACACGUCCAGCAGGGACGUGGACCUGCUUCCUUCCCCAAGCAGGGGGUACUCUCCACUGACCUCUAACCAACUAAACUCUUCCUUAGAGGAAGAGAAGAGAAUGGAAAGAAGGUUCCAUCCUCUACAAAUCUAGUCCUGCCAUGCUUGCUGCCACCUUUUGGUGAACCAGGUAUAUUACAUGAACAAUAACAGUUGUAUAGAAAUAGCAAUGCACAUUGUAGUGGACUGAAAAAAAUGCAUAAGAUGACACUGUGUUAGCCCAUACAAGAUAGUAGUGGGGUGUGGAGUGGUAAUGGCACUCUGGGUCAUUACACAUGUUAAUGCUUCGUGUCUCUGAUGUCCGGAACGGGGCUUGGCACUUUUUCACGCAGUGGAUUCCAAGCACGGGAUCCGCUCGUGUGAAAGAGCCCUUACAAUUUUACACUGUUCCUAGGCAGCAUCAGCAAUAAAAAAGCAGCACAACACACACUAAGAGACUUUACAUGUUUAAUAGGCACGAUACAUGUGCAGUUUCGGCAUGCAAUAUAAGUUGUUUUUCGCUUUUCUGAGAAACUGACAGCAGCGUUCGGUAGUCCGGAUUUUGCUAUUAAUUCCUUAUUGAGCUGCAAUAACCUUUUCUCAGCUCCCUGCGGUUUUCCCAUGCAACAAUUAGAACUUCAAAUGAGCACCUCUUGUCAGACUUUUA